ACUUUCAUUUUCAUAUUUGUUCAAGUUUGAUUCUACACUCCUAUCAUACUAAUCUUUUUUCUUCUAAUAAUGCCUGCAACAACACGUUCCCUUGCAUCCAUCUAUGAUGUGUUCCUCAGCUUCAGAGGUUUAGACACACGCCAUGGUUUCACUGGCAAUCUCUACAAAGCUCUUGAUGACAGGGGAAUCUACACUUUCAUUGAUGAUCAGGAGCUUCCCAGAGGAGACCAAAUAACACCUGCACUUUCCAAGGCAAUUCAAGAGUCCAGGAUUGCUAUUACUGUGCUUUCUGAAAACUAUGCUUCUUCCUCGUUUUGUUUAGAUGAACUUGUAACCAUCCUUCACUGCAAGAGUGAAGGGCUGUUGGUUAUACCGGUCUUUUAUAAGGUAGAUCCUUCUGAUGUCAGACACCAGAAAGGUAGUUAUGGAGAAGCAAUGGCUAAGCAUCAGAAGAGCUUCAAAGCUAAGAAGGAGAAGCUGCAGAAAUGGAGGAUGGCUUUGCAACAAGUAGCUGACUUGUCUGACUAUCAUUUCAAAGAUGGAGAUGCAUAUGAAUACAAGUUUAUUGGGAGUAUUGUUGAGGAGCUCUCUAGGAAGAUUAGUCGUGCUUCUUUACAUGUUGCGGAUUAUCCAGUUGGUCUAGAGUCACCAGUGACAGAGGUAAUGAAGCGUUUGGAGUUGGAUCCGAUGAUGUCCACAUCAUAGGAAUCCAUGGAAUGGGCAGGUUAGGAAAAACAACACUUGCUCUGGCAGUUCAUAAUUUGAUUGCUCUCCAUUUUGAUGAAUCCUGUUUUCUUCAAAACGUGAGAGAAGAAUCAAAUAAACAUGGGUUAAAACACCUUCAAAGCAUCCUUCUUUCAAAAUUACUUGGUGAGAAGGGCAUCACCUUAACAAGUUGGCAAGAAGGAGCUUCAAUGAUACAACAUAGGCUCCGAAGAAAGAAGGUUCUCUUGAUUUUAGACGAUGUUGACAAGCGCGAGCAAUUAAAGGUUAUUGUUGGAAGAUCUGAUUGGUUUGGUCCCGGUAGCAGAGUCAUCAUUACCACUCGGGACAAACAUCUGCUAAAACAUCACGAGGUUGAAAGAACUUAUGAGGUGAAGGUUUUGAAUCAGAGUGCUGCUCUUCAAUUGCUUACUUGGAAUGCUUUUAGAAGAGAAAAAAUUGAUCCAAGUUAUGAGGACGUCUUGUAUCGUGUAGUAACUUAUGCUUCUGGCCUUCCAUUGGCUUUGGAAGUCAUAGGUUCCAACUUGUUUGGAAAAACUGUAGCAGAAUGGGAAUCUGCUAUGGAACAUUAUAAAAGAAUUCCCAGUGAUGAAAUCCUAGAGAUUCUAAAAGUAAGCUUUGAUGCUUUGGGAGAAGAACAAAAGAAUGUUUUUCUUGACCUUGCUUGUUGCUUGAAAGGGUAUAAAUGGACAGAGGUUGAUGAUAUACUCCGUGCUCUUUAUGGUAACUGCAAGAAGCAUCAUCUUGGGGUGUUGGUUGAAAAAUCUCUCAUAAAGCUUGACUGCUAUGAUAGUGGUACUGUUGAAAUGCACGACCUGAUUCAGGACAUGGGUAGAGAAAUUGAGCGGCAGAGAUCACCCAAAGAGCCCGGGAAGUGCAAGAGAUUAUGGUUACCAAAAGAUAUAAUUCAAGUUUUAAAACACAACACGGGAACUAGUGAAAUUGAAAUCAUAUGUCUGGAUUUCUCCAUAUCUGACAAAAGAAGAAACAGUGGAAUGGAAUGAAAACGCCUUCAUGAAGAUGGAAAACCUUAAAAUACUUAUUAUUAGAAAUGGCAAAUUUUCCAAAGGUCCCAAUUAUUUUCCAGAAGGUUUGAGAGUACUGGAAUGGCACAGAUAUCCUUCAAAUUGUUUACCAUCUAACUUUCAUCCGAACAACCUUCUUAUAUGCAAGUUACCCGACAGUUCCAUUAAGUCAUUUGAGUUCCAUGGCUCAUCGAAGAAGUUGGGGCAUCUAACAGUUUUGAAUUUUGACCAGUGCAAAUUUUUAACACAGAUACCUGAUGUAUCUGAUCUCCCAAAUUUGAGGGAACUUUCAUUUGAAGAGUGUGAGAGUUUAGUUGCAGUUGAUGACUCAAUUGGUUUUCUGAAUAAACUUAAAAUAUUGAAUGCUAAAGGUUGCAGCAAGCUUACGAGUUUUCCGCCUCUCAACUUGACCUCUCUUGAAACACUUGAACUUUCUGGGUGUUCCAGUCUUGAGUAUUUUCCAGAAAUAUUAGGAGAGAUGAAAAACAUAAAGAUACUUUAUUUGAUUGACCUUCCCAUAAAAGAAUUGCCAUUUUCAUUUCAAAAUCUUAUUGGACUCAGUGAGAUAAACCUGAAUAGGUGUGGAAUUGUUCAGUUACGAUCUAGCUUAGCCAUGAUGCCCGAACUGUCUGCAUUCUACAUUGCAGAUUGCAACAGGUGGCAAUGGGUAGAAUCGGAAGAAGGUGAAGAAAAAGUGGACUCAAUACAAUAUUCAAAGGCACGUCAGUUUCGUGCCAUAAACUGCAAUCUAUGUGAUGAUUUUUUUUUAACAGGUUCCAAGAGGUUUACUCAUGUAGAAUAUUUAGAUCUAUCGGGGAAUAAUUUCACAAUCCUUCCUGAAUUCUUCAAAGAAUUGCAAUUUUUAAGAGCACUUAUGGUGAGUGAUUGCGAGCAUCUUCAGGAAAUUAGAGGGCUUCCACCAAACUUAGAGUUUUUCGAUGCAAGAAACUGUGCAUCCUUGACUUCCUCGAGUAAAAGCAUGCUUUUAAAUCAGAAACUGCAUGAGGCUGGAGGAACAAACUUUAUGAUUCCAGGAACAAGAAUACCAGAGUGGUUGGAUCAGCAAAGCAGUGGACAUUCAAGUUCUUUCUGGUUUCGUAAUAAAUUCCCUGCCAAACUUCUUUGUCUUGUUAUUGCACCUGUGUCUACUGGGAUUGGUGUCAAAGCAAAGGUGUUCAUCAAUGGAAAAAUUCUAAAACUUCCAUUCUUUUAUGGAAGUAAGAAGAUACAAAGUAUGUUGGAAUUGGACCAUACAUAUAUCUUUGAUCUCCAACCGUUUGCUUUCAAAAAUAAUAUUAAUCGGUUUGAAGAAGCGGCUUGGGAAAAGGAAUGGAACCAUGUGGAGAUUAGAUAUCAAAUUGUGUUAAACCAUAUAAAAGAAAAAAGAGAACAAGGUUCAGUCAUUAAAGCAACUGGAAUCUAUAUAUUCAAAGAAGAAAGCAGUAUGGAGCAAGAUAUUCGAUUUGAUGAUCCAUAUCUCAGCAGUUCUGCAUCAGAAAACCCCUGGUUGCCACAAACCAUAGCUUUGGGGACACGCAAGUUUUCCAUAGCUUUUUUCUUAUUUUUUUCAUGUUUUUUAUUUUAUUAUUUUGGUUUCAGUUGUCAAAAAUGGACUUAACCCAAUGUACUUUCGACUCAUUUAUAUUCAUCUUUCACGACUUUAUGCAUUUUCUA
This is an RNA transcript of Glycine soja, 3422 nucleotides long. It is a transcript of the gene named TMV resistance protein N-like, with no coding region annotated. The transcript has 5 exons. The record is from RefSeq and is a predicted model, not a curated record. Lineage: Eukaryota; Viridiplantae; Streptophyta; Magnoliopsida; Fabales; Fabaceae.